UGGGGAAUUUUGGACAAUGGGCGAAAGCCUGAUCCAGCAAUGCCGCGUGUGUGAAGAAGGCCUUCGGGUUGUAAAGCACUUUUGUCCGGAAAGAAAUCCUCUGGGUUAAUACCUCGGGGGGAUGACGGUACCGGAAGAAUAAGCACCGGCUAACUACGUGCCAGCAGCCGCGGUAAUACGUAGGGUGCAAGCGUUAAUCGGAAUUACUGGGCGUAAAGCGUGCGCAGGCGGUUUUGUAAGACGGAUGUGAAAUCCCCGGGCUUAACCUGGGAACUGCAUUCGUGACUGCAAGGCUAGAGUAUGGCAGAGGGGGGUUAGAAUUCCACGUGUAGCAGUGAAAUGCGUAGAGAUGUGGAGGAAUACCGAUGGCGAAGGCAGCCCCCUGGGCCAAUACUGACGCUCAUGCACGAAAGCGUGGGGAGCAAACAGGAUUAGAUACCCUGGUAGUCCACGCCCUAAACGAUGUCAACUAGUUGUUGGGGAUUCAUUUCCUUAGUAACGUAGCUAACGUGUGAAGUUGACCGCCUGGGGAGUACGGUCGCAAGAUUAAAA
RNAcentral lists this ribosomal RNA (552 nucleotides) under uncultured bacterium. Its description in RNAcentral is "partial 16S ribosomal RNA". It matches the Rfam family "Bacterial small subunit ribosomal RNA", at positions 355 to 899 of the family's 1533-position model. The record is from RNAcentral.